AGAGUUUGAUCCUGGCUCAGAACGAACGCUGGCGGCAUGCCUAACACAUGCAAGUCGAACGAAGCCUUCGGGCUUAGUGGCGCACGGGUGCGUAACACGUGGGAAUCUGCCCUUUGGUUCGGAAUAACAGUUAGAAAUGACUGCUAAUACCGGAUAAUGACGUAAGUCCAAAGAUUUAUCGCCGAAGGAUGAGCCCGCGUAGGAUUAGGUAGUUGGUGGGGUAAUGGCCCACCAAGCCGACGAUCCUUAGCUGGUCUGAGAGGAUGAUCAGCCACACUGGGACUGAGACACGGCCCAGACUCCUACGGGAGGCAGCAGUGGGGAAUAUUGGACAAUGGGCGAAAGCCUGAUCCAGCAAUGCCGCGUGAGUGAUGAAGGCCUUAGGGUUGUAAAGCUCUUUACCAGGGAUGAUAAUGACAGUACCUGGAGAAUAAGCUCCGGCUAACUCCGUG
Molecule: ribosomal RNA, 452 nt
Filed under: uncultured bacterium
Lineage: Bacteria
Description: bacterial SSU rRNA
Rfam family: Bacterial small subunit ribosomal RNA
Source: RNAcentral